Molecule: non-coding RNA, 90 nt
Filed under: Desulfofundulus kuznetsovii
Lineage: Bacteria; Bacillati; Bacillota; Clostridia; Eubacteriales; Peptococcaceae
Description: Desulfotomaculum kuznetsovii c-di-GMP sequence
Rfam family: c-di-GMP-I riboswitch aptamer
About the family: GEMM was predicted in a large-scale screen for bacterial structured RNA regulatory elements. Genes associated with GEMM are involved in a diverse array of functions, including chemotaxis regulation, signal transduction, secretion and chitin.
Source: RNAcentral
GGGCGUCAAGGGCAAACCCAUUGGUGGGGACGCAAAGCUACAGGGUCUAAGGUGCUUAUGCGAUGGCACUACGACAGCCUGGCCGCCGCG